UUUUCGAGGUAGGAGUCGAGUACUGUAAGGUAUGGUGCUGGGUGCAGAUGCAGUGUGGCUCUGGAUAGCACCUUAUGGACAGUUGUGUCCCCAAGGAAGGAUGAGAAUAGCUACUGAAGUAAGUUGAAAAUUCCCUCUCAAAAAGAUUUAAAGCCAUUGGAUGUGCCACAAUGAUGACAGUUUAUUUGCUACUCUUGAGUGCUAGAAUGAUGAGGAUCUUAACCACCAUUAUCUUAACUGAGGCACCCAAAAUGGUGAUUUGGGGAACAUAGAGAGUACACCUAAGUUCACAUGAAGUUGUUUCUUCCCAGGUCCUAAACAGCAAGCCUAACUCAAGCCAUUGGCACACAGGCAUUAGACAGAAAGCUGGAAGUUGAAAUGGUGGAGUCCAACUUGCCUGGACCAGCUUAAUGGUUCUGCUCCUGGUAACGUUUUUAUCCAUGGAUGACUUGCUUGGGUAAGGACAUGAAGACAGUUCCUGUCAUACCUUUUAAAGGUACAUGUUUUAUUGAUGUUAACGUUAAUUGAUUGAGCUACUGUUAGUGAUGAUUUUAAAAUUAAAGCAGAUGGGAAUCUCUCUGAGAAAGAAAAUGGAGAUUAAUCUUAAACUGAAACAGUAGUUGGGAAAUCUUUUAGAAAUCCACCUAUUACUACCUAUUGGUAAAGGAGAUAAAAUUUCUACAGGUAUGGAGAGUCGGCUUGACUACACUGUGUGGAGCAACUUUUAAAGAAGCAAAGGUAUAGCAGUCCCAAGUAUUUCUUUUUUUUUUUUUUAGACAAGAGUCUAGCUCUUGCCCAGAA
RNAcentral lists this small RNA (801 nucleotides) under Pan troglodytes (chimpanzee). RNAcentral describes it as "retained intron". The stretch from base 535 to 619 matches the Rfam family "Small nucleolar RNA SNORD79". The record is from RNAcentral. Lineage: Eukaryota; Metazoa; Chordata; Mammalia; Primates; Hominidae.